CCUACGGGUGGCUGCAGUGGGGAAUAUUGGACAAUGGGGGGAACCCUGAUCCAGCCAUGCCGCGUGUGUGAAGAAGGCCCUCGGGUUGUAAAGCACUUUCAGUGAGGAAGAACGCCUGGUGGUUAAUACCCAUCAGGAAAGACAUCACUCACAGAAGAAGCACUGGCUAACUCCGUGCCAGCAGCCGCGGUAAUACGGAGGGUGCGAGCGUUAAUCGGAAUUACUGGGCGUAAAGCGCGCGUAGGUGGCUUGAUAAGCCGGUUGUGAAAGCCCCGGGCUCAACCUGGGAACGGCAUCCGGAACUGUCAAGCUAGAGUGCAGGAGAGGAAGGUAGAAUUCCCGGUGUAGCGGUGAAAUGCGUAGAGAUCGGGAGGAAUACCAGUAGCGAAGGCGGCCUUCUGGACUGACACUGACACUGAGGUGCGAAAGCGUGGGUAGCAAACAGGAUUAGAUACCCGUGUAGUC
This 465-nucleotide ribosomal RNA is filed under the name Vreelandella stevensii. Its description in RNAcentral is "partial 16S ribosomal RNA". It matches the Rfam family "Bacterial small subunit ribosomal RNA", at positions 338 to 795 of the family's 1533-position model. The record is from RNAcentral. Lineage: Bacteria; Pseudomonadati; Pseudomonadota; Gammaproteobacteria; Oceanospirillales; Halomonadaceae.